RNAcentral lists this long non-coding RNA (1514 nucleotides) under Sinocyclocheilus grahami. RNAcentral describes it as "lncRNA (ENSSGRG00000013706.1)". Lineage: Eukaryota; Metazoa; Chordata; Actinopteri; Cypriniformes; Cyprinidae. The record is from RNAcentral.
GUUAAAUUGUCAUGCAUUUCAGUUAUGCAUAAAUCAUGCAUUUCAUUAGGUUAGUUUUGCCACUGUCAAGACAGUUUACAUAAUUUUAAGUAAUGUACACAGCAACUUAAAACUUUGAAAAGGAUUGCGGUCUGUGAGAUAAAAAAUUAGCUCAUGAUUUACUUAACUUAAUCAGUCCACUGUUGUAUUGUAACUGUUACUCCUGGUCAAAAACUUCCAUAAUUUUAUAGUUUAUAUGUGGGAUCACUUAUUUACAACUAAGUGUAAUGGUGAAAAACAUGAAUAUUUAUCAAUGCAUAAAAUUUAGUAUUGCAUAAAAACUAGUGCCUGUAACUGAUCCCAGAAUACUUUAAAUAUACUUCAUAAAUUGUGUGUAUGUCUACUUUUUGUCCUUCUGGAGCUUGACAUCUGUGGUCAUAAUGAACUGCCCUUGUGUAGAAAAUGUUUUAAACAUUGUUACUUUUUCCCUUUUGUGUUUUAAGUGGAAAUAAUAAUACCAUAUGCAACAGCAAGAGGGUGAUUAAAUCAUGGCAGAAUGUUAAUUUUAAGGUAAUCUAAUUGAUUUUUCAGACCAAAGUGCAAGUGGAUACACUCCUCCAGAACUUGUUGCAGAGAAACCCAUCCAGGAAGGCAUAGGAUCUGCAGAAAAAGAUGGAUGUCCACAAAAUCAAGUUUUUUACGUUUCGUAUUACCAUAUUACAAUCAUUAUAUGUUCCGUACCUACCGUAUGUGGACGAGUCGCAAAUCCAUUGCAAAGAAGAGAACCUGCUGGGUGAAGGUGCCUUUGGAAGAGUGUAUAGAGGCUACUUUCAGGGCACCCCUGCUGCAAUAAAGAAGAUUCUGUAUGGCACUGCAGGACUUCCUAUACCAAGAUAUCCAGCAUGAGAUUCUGGUCUCACUCCGACUGAGCCAUCCCAAUAUUGUUCGACUCAUGGCUGCAGCCCACACUGACAACGCCUUCUUGCUGGCCAAUGAGUAUAUACAUGGCACAACCCUGGAGGAUGCACUACACAAUGACAGUUCUUGUUAAGGUUAAAAAAAAAAUCAUAUUUUUCAUGUAACGUUUGUGAAAAAUUGUCUUAAUAUUUAAUGUGAAUAACGAAAUGUGAUGUGAUUGGUUAGCUAUCCCAGUGCGUUGUGAUUAGCGAACAGCUUAGAUCAGGGCUGUCCAAACUCGGUCCUGGAGGGCCGGUGUCCUGCAGAGUUUAGCUCCAACCCUAAUUAAACACACCUGAACCAGCUAAUCAAGCUCUUACUAGGCAUAGAAACUUCCAGUCAGGUGUUUUGAGGCAAGUUGGAGCUAAACUGCAGAGACACCGGCCCUCCAGGACCGAGUUUGGACAGCCCUGGCUUAGAUGGUGUUUCAGUACAGCCCCCAUGCCAAAGCAGCAAGUUCCGUCUGCUCCGGCUUAGUUAAAGCAGCACUAUAACUUUUUCUGUGUUCAAAAUUUGCAAAAUGUAUAUAAUGAGCGAGUACAUCAUGAAUUCAUCUUUUUGUCUUAUUCCGAAUCACU